RNAcentral lists this ribosomal RNA (492 nucleotides) under uncultured bacterium. RNAcentral's name for it is "partial 16S ribosomal RNA". It matches the Rfam family "Bacterial small subunit ribosomal RNA", at positions 28 to 507 of the family's 1533-position model. The record is from RNAcentral.
GAUGAACGCUAGCUACAGGCUUAACACAUGCAAGUCGAGGGGAAACGACAUCGAAAGCUUGCUUUUGAUGGGCGUCGACCGGCGCACGGGUGAGUAACGCGUAUCCAACCUGCCCAUCACUUGGGAAUAACCUUGCGAAAGUAAGACUAAUACCCAAUGAUAUCCCACGAAGGCAUCGGAAUGGGAUUAAAGAUUUAUCGGUGAUGGAUGGGGAUGCGUCUGAUUAGCUUGUUGGCGGGGUAACGGCCCACCAAGGCAACGAUCAGUAGGGGUUCUGAGAGGAAGGUCCCCCACAUUGGAACUGAGACACGGACCAAACUCCUACGGGAGGCAGCAGUGAGGAAUAUUAGGCAAUGGGGGAGAGCCUGAACCAGCCAAGUAGCGUGCAGGAAGACGGCCCUAUGGGUUGUAAACUGCUUUUAAAAGGGAAUAAAGUGGGUCACGUGUGACUUUUUGCAUGUACCUUAUGAAUAAGGACCGGCUAAUUCCGUG